Molecule: ribosomal RNA, 488 nt
Filed under: uncultured bacterium
Lineage: Bacteria
Description: bacterial SSU rRNA
Rfam family: Bacterial small subunit ribosomal RNA
Source: RNAcentral
AGAGUUUGAUUAUGGCUCAGGAUGAACGCUGGCGGCGUGCUUAAUACAUGCAAGUCGAACGGAGACCAGCAAUGGUCUUAGUGGCGAACGGGUGAGUAACGCGUUGGUAACCUGCCCCGGAGAGAGGGAUAACAGGCCGAAAGGCUUGCUAAUACCGCAUGAGCAGUAGAGGAAUAGCAGCUUUACUGCAAAGGAGUAAUCCGCUCUGGGAGGGGCCUGCGACCCAUCAGCUAGUUGGUAAGGUAACGGCUUACCCAAGGCGAUGACGGGUAGGGGACCUGAGAGGGUGGCCCCCCACAAUGGAACUGGAACACGGUCCAUACACCUACGGGUGGCAGCAGUAGGGAAUAUUGCAUAAUGGGCGAAAGCCUGAUGCAGCAACGCCGCGUGUGCGAUGAAGGCCUUCGGGUUGUAAAGCACUUUUGAUCGGGAAGAGGAAGGACGGUACCGGUCGAAUAAGCCUCGGCUAACUACGUGCCAGCAGCCGC